This 468-nucleotide ribosomal RNA is filed under the name uncultured bacterium. Its description in RNAcentral is "partial 16S ribosomal RNA". It matches the Rfam family "Bacterial small subunit ribosomal RNA", at positions 28 to 507 of the family's 1533-position model. The record is from RNAcentral.
GACGAACGCUGGCGGCGUGCUUAACACAUGCCAGUCGAACGGAAAGGCCCUGCUUUUGUGGGGUGCUCGAGUGGCGAACGGGUGAGUAACACGUCAGUAACCUGCCCUUGACUUUGGGAUAACUUCAGGAAACUGGGGCUAAUACCGGAUAGGAGCUCCUGCUGCAUGGUGGGGGUUGGAAAGUUUCGGCGGUUGGGGAUGGACUCGCGGCUUAUCAGCUUGUUGGUGGGGUAGUGGCUUACCAAGGCUUUGACGGGUAGCCGGCCUGAGAGGGUGACCGGCCACAUUGGGACUGAGAUACGGCCCAGACUCCUACGGGAGGCAGCAGUGGGGAAUAUUGCACAAUGGGCGGAAGCCUGAUGCAGCAACGCCGCGUGCGGGAUGACGGCCUUCGGGUUGUAAACCGCUUUCGCCUGUGACGAAGCGUGAGUGACGGUAAUGGGUAAAGAAGCACCGGCUAACUACGUG